UAUUGCUGUUAUGGUGUGCAAU
RNAcentral lists this microRNA (22 nucleotides) under Monodelphis domestica (gray short-tailed opossum). RNAcentral's name for it is "mdo-miR-12352-3p". The record is from miRBase by way of RNAcentral. Lineage: Eukaryota; Metazoa; Chordata; Mammalia; Didelphimorphia; Didelphidae.